Molecule: ribosomal RNA, 536 nt
Filed under: uncultured beta proteobacterium
Lineage: Bacteria; Pseudomonadati; Pseudomonadota; Betaproteobacteria
Description: bacterial SSU rRNA
Rfam family: Bacterial small subunit ribosomal RNA
Source: RNAcentral
GAGUAAUGCAUCGGAACGUGUCCUGUUGUGGGGGAUAACUGAUCGAAAGAUCAGCUAAUACCGCAUGAGACCUGAGGGUGAAAGCGGGGGAUCGCAAGACCUCGCGCGACAGGAGCGGCCGAUGUCUGAUUAGCUAGUUGGUGAGAUAAAAGCUUACCAAGGCGACGAUCAGUAGCUGGUCUGAGAGGAUGAUCAGCCACAUUGGGACUGAGACAACGGCCCAGACUCCUACGGGAGGGCAGCAAUUUGGGGAAUUUUUGGACAAAUGGGGGAAACCCUGAUCCAGGCCAUUGCCGCGUGCGGUGAUGAAGGCCUUGGGGUUGUAAACCGCUUUUGUCAGAGACGAAAAGGGACGUACGAAUACUACGUUCCGCUGACGGUAUCUGAAGAAUAAGCACCGGCUAACUACGUUGCCAGCACGCCGCGGUAAUACGUAGGGUGCAAGCGUUAAUCGGAAUUACUGGGCGUAAAGGGUGCGCAGGCGGCUGUGCAAGACAGAUGUGAAAUCCCCGGGCUUAACCUGGGAACUGCAUUUG